This 442-nucleotide ribosomal RNA is filed under the name uncultured bacterium. RNAcentral describes it as "partial 16S ribosomal RNA". It matches the Rfam family "Bacterial small subunit ribosomal RNA", at positions 338 to 795 of the family's 1533-position model. The record is from RNAcentral.
CCUACGGGGGGCAGCAGUGGGGAAUAUUGGGCAAUGGGCGCAAGCCUGACCCAGCAACGCCGCGUGAAGGAAGAAGGCUUUCGGGUUGUAAACUGCUUUUAUAAGCGAGAAAUAUGAUGGUAACUUAUGAAUAAGGAUCGGCUAACUACGUGCCAGCAGCCGCGGUCAUACGUAGGAUCCGAGCAUUAUCCGGAGUGACUGGGUGUAAAGAGUUGCGUAGGUGGCAUAAUAAGUAGCUAGUGAAAUCUGGUGGCUCAACCAUUCAGACUAUUAGCUAAACUGUUAAGCUCGAGACCGUUAGGGGUAACUGGAAUUUCUAGUGUAGGAGUGAAAUCCGUAGAUAUUAGAAGGAACACCAAUAGCGUAGGCAGGUUACUGGGACGGUUCUGACACUAAGGCACGAAAGCGUAGGGAGCAAACGGGAUUAGAUACCCUUGUAGUC